AAUCUUGGUCAAUGGGGGCAACCCUGAUCCAGCCAUGCCGCGUGUGUGAAGAUGGUCUUCGGAUUGUAAAGCACUUUAAUUUGGGAGGAAGGGCUCAGGUUAAUACCCUGAAGUUUUGACGUUACCAACAGAUUAAGCACCGGAUAACUAUGUGCCAUCAGCCGCGGUAAUACAGAGGGUGCAAGCGUUAAUCGUAAUUUCUGGGCGUAAAGCGUGCGUAGGUAGUUCAGUAAGAUGGGUGUGAAAUCCCCGGGCUUAACCUGGGAACUGCUUUCAUAACUGCUGAGCUAGAGUACGGUAGAGGGUAGUGGAAUUUCCUGUGUAGCGGUGAAAUGCGUAGAUAUAGGAAGGAACACCAGUGGCGAAGGCGACUACCUGGACUGAUACUGACACUGAGGUGCGAAAGCGUGGGGAGCAAA
Molecule: ribosomal RNA, 419 nt
Filed under: uncultured bacterium
Lineage: Bacteria
Description: partial 16S ribosomal RNA
Rfam family: Bacterial small subunit ribosomal RNA
Source: RNAcentral